GUCAGGCACGGUGGUGCACGCCUGUAAUCCCAGUGACUUGGGAGGCUGAGGCAGGAGGAUCGUAUUUUUGAGGCCAACUUCAGUGAUUUACUAAGUCCUCAGCAACUGAGAGACGCCCUGUCUCAA
This 126-nucleotide small RNA is filed under the name Marmota monax (woodchuck). The record is from RNAcentral. Lineage: Eukaryota; Metazoa; Chordata; Mammalia; Rodentia; Sciuridae.